CACGCAUGGACGCAUGUCUGCAGUCUGCGCGGAAGAUGACAGACAAUUAAUUCUUCUGGUACCAGCCUGCAUAAGACAGCACUUCUGUUUUACCUCUUGUAGACUCGCCGAUAAACGCAAACGUUUCGGAGAAACACUUAAGUUAUGAAGAUGCCGACAUCCUGAAACGGUAGCAUUUACUGUUUCGGAGGAUCGUAUUGUCUACAUCCUCAGAUCCUGAACGACGUACGCGUUACUAUGAAGAAAAACAAGAGAAUAACGAGAAGGGGAGAUGACGGAAAAAGAACGUCUUCCCCCUCCAAAUAAAAUAGGCCUGAGUACGAAAUUACACCAUGAAAACUACUGCGUUGACUUCAGAGCCUUUAAAUGUUUAUCAUAUGAAGACGGGCAAUUUAAACCUCGUGUUGCGUGGCCGCCAGCCAGGGUUAAGGGUUUGGCUGUACGCUAGUUUGACACAUGACCGUCUGGAUCACGUGCAAGGCGCAUCGCAAGGACGAUGAAGAUUAAUGACACCAAAACAUGGAAAUAAUGAAAAGUUUCGGAUUUCAGAGUAUUAGUAGAAAUCCAUAUACUUUAUUAAAUGGGUAAAAUAUAAACAGUUUUCAUAUUAUUUUGUGCACUGUAUUUUAUUUUACAUUUUGUAUACAAUAUCUAGCGCGGUGUGUGUAUAUAUAUCUGUAUAAU
Molecule: non-coding RNA, 684 nt
Organism: Zootermopsis nevadensis
Lineage: Eukaryota; Metazoa; Arthropoda; Insecta; Blattodea; Termopsidae
Source: RefSeq, a predicted model, not a curated record